UACGUAGGUGGCAAGCGUUAUCCGGAUUUACUGGGUGUAAAGGGCGUGUAGGCGGGGACGCAAGUCAGAUGUGAAAACCACGGGCUCAACCUGUGGCCUGCAUUUGAAACUGUGUUUCUUGAGUACUGGAGAGGCAGGCGGAAUUCCUAGUGUAGCGGUGAAAUGCGUAGAUAUUAGGAGGAACACCAGUGGCGAAGGCGGUCUGCUGGACAGCAACUGACGCUGAGGCGCGAAAGCGUGGGGAGCAAACAGG
RNAcentral lists this ribosomal RNA (253 nucleotides) under uncultured bacterium. Its description in RNAcentral is "partial 16S ribosomal RNA". It matches the Rfam family "Bacterial small subunit ribosomal RNA", at positions 524 to 776 of the family's 1533-position model. The record is from RNAcentral.